GUACACUCCUACGGGAGGCAGCAGUGGGGAAUAUUGGACAAUGGGCGCAAGCCUGAUCCAGCCAUGCCGCGUGAGUGAUGAAGGCCCUAGGGUUGUAAAGCUCUUUCACCGGUGAAGAUAAUGACGGUAACCGGAGAAGAAGCCCCGGCUAACUUCGUGCCAGCAGCCGCGGUAAUACGAAGGGGGCUAGCGUUGUUCGGAUUUACUGGGCGUAAAGCGCACGUAGGCGGACUAUUAAGUCAGGAGUGAAAUCCCGGGGCUCAACCCCGGAACUGCCUUUGAUACUGGUAGUCGUGAGUUCGAGAGAGGUGAGUGGAAUUCCGAGUGUAGAGGUGAAAUUCGUAGAUAUUCGGAGGAACACCAGUGGCGAAGGCGGCUCACUGGCUCGAUACUGACGCUGAGGUGCGAAAGCGUGGGGAGCAAACAGGAUUAGAAACCCGGGUAGUCCCA
This 450-nucleotide ribosomal RNA is filed under the name uncultured organism. RNAcentral describes it as "partial 16S ribosomal RNA". It matches the Rfam family "Bacterial small subunit ribosomal RNA", at positions 331 to 797 of the family's 1533-position model. The record is from RNAcentral.